This is a long non-coding RNA of Olea europaea var. sylvestris, 1380 nucleotides long. RefSeq lists it as uncharacterized. The record is from RefSeq and is a predicted model, not a curated record. NCBI's taxonomy places the organism in Eukaryota, Viridiplantae, Streptophyta, Magnoliopsida, Lamiales, Oleaceae. The transcript is spliced from 3 exons.
AAAAAGAAAAGGGAAAAAAGGAAGAAGAGAAAGAAAGGAAAGAGGGUUUUAUUUUGGCUCGAAAAUUUUCAGAUUUUUGAGAGGAAUACUACUUGGAGCUCAAGUUAUUAAUUCUUGAAUUUCUAUCUAUACUAAGGUGGUGAUGAAGAAUUGGAAAAGCUUAUCGACCGGCCUAGUCUGUAGCUCGUAUUGAGUGAGUGGAUAAAACUUAUUUUUCAGAAAUAAGUCUUCUUUAAAUUUUAAAGUUAUUUAUUUUAUAAAGUUGACUUCAUAGCAUGAUUUUCAGAAUAAAAUGAAUUUUAUUAUCAAUUGCUUUUAAAGUUAAAUUCAGUUCAGUUAAAUUAUUUUAGUAGCAUGUUAUAUUCAUAUUACAUGUUUUAGUAUAGUUAAAGUUAUUUCUAAAAACCACCAUAAAGUAUCCAGGUGAUUUUACCCUAGUUUGCACUGAUGUGAAUGUGUUUCCACAGUGUAUGACUAGUUAUAGUGAUUUUACCCGCUCUGCAUUAUCGUAAAUAUGUUUCCAUAGUGUAUGACUAGAUUAUCAGAGGUCUUUGGGACCUACUCUCGUACACACAUGGGCUUUGGGCCGUGUACUAGGGUGAUUAGCCUUUGGGGCAGCUCUGCGUACGUAUGACCAGAUUAUCAGCUAUCGGAUUAUUAGAUUUGAAUGGCUUUGCCUUGUACAUUUAGAUUACUCGGUACAUGAGUAAGGCUAUUCAUUGGGUACUCUUUUUAGUGUGAUUUUUCAGUAUUUAUUCAGUUCUCAAAUUUCAGAUUAUGGAAUUUAGUUAAUUCAGUUUUUAGAAUAAAGCUUUCAGUUUCUAGUAUUGAGCAGCAGCAAUAUUUCAUAGAUUUUCAUGAAUAUCAGAUUCUUUAUAUUUGUUAUACCUUACAGAUACUUAUCUAGAAUUUAGAACAAAGAAUUUUAUAAUGUAAUCAUGUUUAGUUUUUAAAAGUAUUACUAGAUUCAAAAAUUCUCAAGGAUUUAAUAAAGUUAACAUUUUUAGAAUGUUAGCAUAAAUGGAAAAAGUAUUUUUAUUUACAAAAUUAUCCACUUACUGAGUUAUAGGCUCACAUUUUUUUUACAAUUUCUCUUAUCAGAUAGUAGCUGAGUUGAGCACUACUAGCCAGUUGAUCUAUCGAGUUGAACUAUAAAAUGUCAAGCAUUGUAUGACUCAUCUUAUCAGUUUAACAGUUAAUAUUUUGGAAUAAACACCACCUUUGGUCAGAAAUUAGUUCCAUGUUUUGGGUCUGCUAUGUUUUGUAUAUAUUAUGCAUUUUGGGUACCAUGGUUUAUAAAUUGUUGCAAAGGUCAAAUUGCCAGUGUUGUAUUUGAAUAGUUGAUUUUCUGUGAGCCAGUGUACCCUAUUUUAAACUAAA